Long non-coding RNA from Phacochoerus africanus (Common warthog), 872 nucleotides. RefSeq lists it as uncharacterized. The record is from RefSeq and is a predicted model, not a curated record. NCBI's taxonomy places the organism in Eukaryota, Metazoa, Chordata, Mammalia, Artiodactyla, Suidae. The transcript is spliced from 3 exons.
UCUCCUUUCUGGCUAAUUAUUCUUCCCAAGAUGCCUGCCUUCCAUCAUGCAGAAGCUGUCGAAACACAGGUGGUGUUUGCUUUGCUUGGUUUGUGUUGAGUGAUUCGUGAUACCAGUUGGAAAACAAGGUUAUUAAUGCAUAUAUUCCCUGGGGCAUUGUACUUGGCUUUUAAGAUCCAUGUAGUCUCUCCCUGAGAAAAUAUGUGAACCUCCAUGAGGAGGAAGUUCCAGGGAAAGCAGAGGAAAAGAAGGUAGGAACUGAAUGAAAAUAGAUAAAGGGCUUGCAGGAAUAACAAAAAGAUGGGAUCCCAGAAGACCAAGCAGUAGCCACUUUGAGUGAAUUUCCCAGGAGUUGCUUGUGCCAAGGCCCAUUCUUUCAAAGAAAAUUAUAGCAAAUAGAAUCAGGCUGGGAGGUUGCUAGUUAUUAGUAUUCAUCCCAUGCUCUAACCUAAUUACAAGGAGAUUGUUUUGGCCAUGGGCAGUCAUUUCAAGUUUUGUUUUCCUCCUUGCCUCCUCCACCUCCACCUGUCUUCCUAGAGGCCUGAGUCAAGGUUAUUGCAAUAGCACUGAACACUGUGUAACACCCGUACAGACAAAUUGACCUUUGGGGACGGGACCUCGCUCACUGUGAAGCCAAGCUGUGUGACACUGUGUGAAUUAUAACCAAGGAGGAAAGCUUAUCUUCGGACAGGGAACCACGUUAUCUGUGAAGCCCAGGAUGAAAUAAUGUGAUGCUGCCCUCAGGGAACUUACAUUCUGGAGGUGGACCCCCUCAUUCCCUCAGAUAUGACCAUCCAUAUUCUGAUGCCUCUUGGGCUUUUGUACCAUCCUCGCUACCUUAGGAAAUAUUAAAAUUGAUCUCUGUUGAAGUU